RNAcentral lists this non-coding RNA (148 nucleotides) under Gorilla gorilla gorilla (western lowland gorilla). Lineage: Eukaryota; Metazoa; Chordata; Mammalia; Primates; Hominidae. The record is from Rfam by way of RNAcentral.
GCUGGGCGUGGUGGCGCAUGCUUGUAAUCCCAGCUACUCGGGAGGCUGAGGCAGGAGAAUUGCUUGAACCUGGGAGGCGGAGGUUGCGGUGAGCCAAGAUCAGGCCACUGCGCUCCAGCCUGGGUGACAGAGCGAGACUCUGUCUCAA